RNAcentral lists this ribosomal RNA (496 nucleotides) under uncultured bacterium. RNAcentral describes it as "partial 16S ribosomal RNA". It matches the Rfam family "Bacterial small subunit ribosomal RNA", at positions 28 to 506 of the family's 1533-position model. The record is from RNAcentral.
GAUGAACGCUGGCGGCGUGCCUAAUACAUGCAAGUCGAGCGAACAGACGAGGAGCUUGCUCCUCUGACGUUAGCGGCGGACGGGUGAGUAACACGUGGAUAACCUACCUAUAAGACUGGGAUAACUUCGGGAAACCGGAGCUAAUACCGGAUAAUAUAUUGAACCGCAUGGUUCAAUAGUGAAAGACGGUUUUGCUGUCACUUAUAGAUGGAUCCGCGCCGCAUUAGCUAGUUGGUAAGGUAACGGCUUACCAAGGCAACGAUGCGUAGCCGACCUGAGAGGGUGAUCGGCCACACUGGAACUGAGACGCGGUCCAGACUCCUACGGGAGGCAGCAGUAGGGAAUCUUCCGCAAUGGGCGAAAGCCUGACGGAGCAACGCCGCGUGAGUGAUGAAGGUCUUCGGAUCGUAAAACUCUGUUAUUAGGGAAGAACAAAUGUGUAAGUAACUAUGCACGUCUUGACGGUACCUAAUCAGAAAGCCACGGCUAACUACGU